RNAcentral lists this unclassified non-coding RNA (250 nucleotides) under plant metagenome. Its description in RNAcentral is "partial contains small subunit ribosomal RNA, internal transcribed spacer 1, and 5.8S ribosomal RNA". The stretch from base 202 to 250 matches the Rfam family "5.8S ribosomal RNA", at positions 1 to 49 of the family's 154-position model. The record is from RNAcentral.
UCUCCGUAGGUGAACCUGCGGAGGGAUCAUUACCGAGCUCAUGCCCUUACGGGUAGAUCUCCCACCCUGUGUUAUUAUUACCUUUGUUGCUUUGGCGGGCCGCCAGGCGCCGGUCAGGCUAUCGGCUUCGGCUGGUAAGCGCCCGCCAGAGGACCCUAUAUCCUGAUUAUUAGUGUCGUCUGAGUACUAUAUAAUAGUUAAAACUUUCAACAACGGAUCCCUUGGUUCUGACAUCGAUGAAGAACGCAGC